GCCGGUUUAGCUCAGUGGUAGAGCUCCCGAUUUGUAAUCGGAUGGUCGUCAGUUCGAAUCUGACAACCGGCU
This 72-nucleotide transfer RNA is filed under the name Akkermansia sp. RNAcentral's name for it is "tRNA-Thr". It matches the Rfam family "tRNA". From Rfam's summary of the family: Transfer RNA (tRNA) molecules are approximately 80 nucleotides in length. Their secondary structure includes four short double-helical elements and three loops (D, anti-codon, and T loops). Lineage: Bacteria; Pseudomonadati; Verrucomicrobiota; Verrucomicrobiia; Verrucomicrobiales; Akkermansiaceae. RNAcentral also lists the same sequence under 3 other names. The record is from RNAcentral.